This is a non-coding RNA of Brachypodium distachyon (stiff brome), 136 nucleotides long. Lineage: Eukaryota; Viridiplantae; Streptophyta; Magnoliopsida; Poales; Poaceae. The record is from Rfam.
UUUAUAUUCCCUCCGUUCAACAAAGAAUGACUCAAGUUUGACUAAAUUUGAAUGUAUCUAUACACUAAGUCAUGUCUAGAUACAUUCAAAUUUUGACAAACUUGAGACAUCUUUUGUUGGACGGAGGGAGUAAUAC